This is a long non-coding RNA of Marmota monax (woodchuck), 6313 nucleotides long. RefSeq lists it as uncharacterized. NCBI's taxonomy places the organism in Eukaryota, Metazoa, Chordata, Mammalia, Rodentia, Sciuridae. The transcript is spliced from 2 exons. The record is from RefSeq and is a predicted model, not a curated record.
AUUUUGAUAUUGGUUUGUUGUUGUUGUUGUUUUAAGUGUGCUUGUUGCAAAAGAUCACUUAGAAAAGCAAACGGUUUGGUUUCUACUGGAUGCAUGCUCUACUCUAGAAAAAUAAAGUCCCUUCAAAAUGAUGGAAAGGAGGCUUUAGUAAUGCAUGAAUGAUUAUAACUCUCAUAUUUUACCAAUCACAAGAGAAAAAUGGAUUCAAACAGCCAUGUAAUCUGGUCUGCCUCACCAUGGAAGAGGUGCCCUGCUAGACACCACACGUCCAGCUUUCUCUGACCACAGUGAUGUAGUUGACAACAGCGUACAACAGGUCUGUUUUCUCACCCUCUUAUCCCACCCAGAUAACAUCUGGUUGGACAGCCUAUUAGCUAUUGAUGCAAGAAUGCUUGUUCUCAGAGCCACCAGGACUUGAGCGGGAGCCUUCUUGGAAGCCUCAUCAAGAGGCAGACCACUUCACCUCUGUGUGAGCUAUCUCUGAGCAUCUUUCCCCUUCUUCCCAGGGAGUUCUCAAAGAUACUUAUAAUCUCCUUUCAAGAUCUCUGUGCAAUGAAAAUUUCAUAGUGCAACUCGAAAGUCAUGAGGCAACAUUCUAUCACAUGCCUUGGAGGGCUGACCAUUACUUGGACAGGAACUGAGUUAGAUUUUUUCCUCAAUGCCUUGUAGAUCUCAGCUGGCUCCCACAUGUCCAGAGCCCUAAACAAGUAAUUUCAUGUAUACCAGCUUGUAUUAGAGGAUGGAUUGCACACAAACCAGUCCUGUAGACCUUUGGGGUACUUGUUUGUGAAACUGGUCUAAUCCAUUGCUAAGGAGGGGUAAUCGUAGCAGCUUCAAUUCUUAUCACAGAAACUAUAUUCAACGCUGACCUGAGGGCAUAUUUUCAUUUUGUUAUCCAUUUUUCUAGGGAAACAAAUUAUUUACAUAAAACAUGGGUCAGAACCCACAUCCAAGUUUUUAUUUAGUAGAACAAUGAGUCCCUCUUCAUCCCCCUACUUGCGAGGCAUCCAAACUGAGAACAUAUAAUUUUCCUGGACACAAACCAAAGGGUCUUGGGUUCCUUAUCCUGGCUCUUCCAGAGUGGAACCAGUAUCAAGAGGUUUCUGCUUUUACAUAAUUGUGCUGGAAACCCACAGUGUUGCUGUUAAGAAGAGAAAAGCCCUUAAAUGAUACAGUUUUUAAUGUGCUACUUUUGUAGCAGACUCAAUCCACAUUUACCUUGAAGUAGGAUUCCUUGGUGUUUUUAAUAAUUAGUAAUCAACUUUAUAGAAGGAAUUUGUUGCAUCAUUUUGCAGAAAGAAAAAAAAUCUAUGAUGCAGUCCCUUUGCUUGGUUAAAAAGAAAUUUUGUUCAAACCUUGAAGAAAUUAUCAAUAUUUACAAUAUUGUUAUUAAACAGAAAGGAAUUAUAAGCUUCAAACAACCAAUAUUAAAUGGUUUUUAUAAUGUAAUCUAAUUGCGUUUUGGGAGUGUUGCCACAUGGGACCAUUAAGAGAGUCUUAGCUCUUACCCAGGACUGUGUUAAGACAAGGAGCCUGAGGACCAUAAUUUAGCUUUGCCAAAGAUCUUUCUAAGGUGCUAGUCUCAAAGGAGUAAUUUCCAAGCUACACAGUAAUUUAGAUACUUAUGAUCAAUUAAAAUGCAUGAUUGAUUUAAUAAGAAUUUCCUUCAUGUCUUUGAGUAAAAUCAUUCUAAACCAAAGGGUGUGAUCUAUUGGGAAUGGCAGGGGGGAAUUUUUUGCAAAUUAAGCCAACCCCUGAGGAUCCCUGUGUGUGUUGAGAAAUGUUACUGGGGAACCUGUUGCCUAGGGAAAGAACAAAGGAAGGCUCCAUUCUGUUAGGAUGGAAAAACAAUCUCAAAUGUUUCCAAUCUUCAAGCUGGUAACAUAUAUAUAUGAAGCUGCCCUUUCAGACUGCUUUUUGUUUUCUUACUUUGAUUGAGUCAUGGAUACAGAGAAAUAUUUCUCCUCAAUGGGAGAAGGAUCAUGGACAAAUGUAAUGAUAAGUAAGAAGUGAUUACACUGCAGAACAAGCAGACAAAAGAGAGGCAAGGACACUGUUGGGACUUGAAAAGUAAGACUAAUCACCUCCUGCCAAUCAUUGCCACAUAUCAACAAGGGCCAAAUCUUCCUGGUUUUCUAGAGAAUGUUGUGAUCCAAAUUUUUAAAAGCUCUUUAUCAAUGUUAAUGCAUUUUUAAAUGUUGAUAUAAUUCACUAAACAAAACACUGCAAGGCAAGCAAAGUGUAUCUAUCGGGCCAGUCCAGCAUCAAAACUCAGGUCUGGAUGUCGGUGGUAAUAAUGAGAAAUGCACUGCUCAAUUCAUUCACCCGUAAGGCUGUCACUGGGUUUCAUAUUUUGCCUGACACAACCAAUGGCAGUUCCAUGCUAAAGAUUGAUUUGCAACAGUGAAAUUAGCUACUGACCGCCAUGUUUAUUGCUGGCUUAGCAUAGCUAUUGCAAAGCCUCUCCCCUCCAUCUUCUGGGUAUGACCACAUUGUUUAGAAUCUGUUUUAGUCUAUUUUGCACAAGACAAGAACAUCAUAGUAAGAACUCAGAGGUCACACUCCCAUAGAAAGUAUUUCCUAGCAGAAAAACUUAAAUGAUUUUAAGUUCAAUGCCUGAGGGUCUGCACAGAUGGAAAUGAAAUUCCAUUAAUUUGUUAUUGCAUUUCUUGGACUAAGCAUUCUGUUUUGGAAGAUUCUAGAAAACAGGUUAUAUAUUUAAUUGAAUGAAGUCAUGUUUAGUUUCACUGAGUGGAGUUUUGCAGUCCUGGGAAUCAAACCCAGAACCUCGUGCAUACUAAGCAAGCACUCUACCACUGAGCUACAUAACCAGCCCUGAAACCAUGAAAUCUAAGCUAGAGUUUUGUACUUGAAACAUCUGUGUUUGUGAGUUAUGGCUCCUAGACCCCUGUAAGCCACGAUUUCCUUGUCCUGAAUUGAAAUUCAAAUCUUUCCAAACAUCCCUGGUGUGUAUUAGCAUUCCAGAAGCUGCCAGGGAGAAGCUGGGAGAAAGCCUAAUGGCUACAUUUGUACUCAAGUACCUAUUUUUUUGAACAAGAAGAAUAUGUCUGUGCCAACACACCACACAAUAAAAUAGGGAUUUGGCACCAAUUUCUAUUGAUUUGGUCAGGAUAAGCAGCCAAACUAGAUAUUUCAUGCCAGAAAUAUGAGUUGGCUUGGCUGACUUCACCUGAUUGAAAUUCACUGGAUAACAAUUAGACAACGUAUCUGGUUGUACAGUGUAGACAUAGCCAUCACCCCCUCUUUACUUUUGAAUUUUUUUAGAAAGCUAGUGUGUUCUUCUCUUCCAUUCAAAGUGUGCACUCCCCUCAAUCACUCAUCGCAAAAGAAGGUUCAUGUCUGGAAGUGGGGAGCUUUUGGCAGACCGUCUCUGUGGAGUGGGACAUAUUAUAAGUGAAAGGGGAUGACAGGGGGGCAUCAAUAGUAUCUACAGUAGCCAUGUGGGGGCCUUCAGGAGGGCACGUUGGAGUGGGAUGGUAAAAUAGAUGAAGUUUAUCCUGUAACGUCCAUUCACAGCUGUUUUACUGUGUGAGACCUGGGCUGGUCACUGGGGAUUCCUGAAUACAAAAGAAGUCCCGUAAAGAAAGAAAACUUCCCAAAUCGCUUAACUGAUGCAAUCUAUGUAAGCAAAUUUCUACAUUAAUGACACUGGUUCUCUGAACUCCCCACAAGAAGGACGAGGCAAUUGCAUUGACUGUCUUAAGAACAUGAUCCCAAAUCUGAUUUUCAUAGUCAUGGCAUCUUCACCCCAAAGCCAACUAGUCCAACAUUUUCCAGCCUAGGCACCAUUCCUGUUCUCACUUACUUUAAUUCUACUUUAACAUACUUUUUUUUUUAACAGUGCUUCAAAUCAUUACCAAAAAUGGGAACUUCUUGUUCCUUUUCUUGUGAAGCAGAUAGUAAAUAGCAGUGUUAUGAAAUUUUGAAUUGAUAGAGUUGCCUGACAAAGACUCUGAGAAACUCAAACACCCGCCGCCACUCUCAUAAUUUAAAAAAAGGAAAAAAGAGGGAGGUGUAAGCAAAUGUGUUCAAGGGCGACAAGUAGCUAAGACUGUCUUUCCUACAAUCUGAAGAAUUGAAGGAGAGAUGAAAAGAAUUACUAUCUUACUCUAUGAUUUAAUUUUAAUUAAGAAAAGGUUUCCGUGCCACCAGAGCCAUCGUAUCUCCUCCACUCAGGGAAACACUGAUGUGAUCCAGCCAUUCUGUCCAAAAGAUUAUCCAACUUCCACCUGAACAUGUCCAAAGACGUGACCUCUUUAAAACCCAUUUAUUCUUAUACAACUAACCAUGUAUCUUUGUAUCCAAAGUAAAACAAACAAUUCUUUCUUAAAGAAAAACCAAACAACACACCUGCUUGCCUGUGACCACCUCUCUGUGUGACAAGUUCUAUAAUGUGUCAAAUUAAAAGGCAGUGUCCCUUUAAAUCUAUAAACCGGUGAACUCAAUGGAAUGUGUGACUUGACAAUAGUUAAAGCCAACAAGCUGGAAUCUCUUACCUGAGAAAAUAAUGAAAGUAAAAGCAAUAAGUGUUGUACCUCAAAGUAUGGCUGUUUGGCUUUAGAGAAACGACAAUAAGAGUGGGCUGAAGUUUGUCAUUUCAUUGAUCACAACAGGCCAAAAAAAAAAAUGAGCUUAAAAAAUAAUUUGUUCUUGAGCUGGUGAGCGUUUGUUUAAGGCUUGCAAAAAUGAGAGCCAGAAUCAUUUAGGAGAAAUUUAAUAUUUUAGACGAUACAUUGCCAAGGCUCUGGUGUGUAGCUCAAGCCAGUUUGGAUAAUCUGAGCAGUCACAGUCAAGAAAGAGGCCAUAAGUUACACACACAUACUGUAUUGGAAUAAAAACUGUCUAUCUUGGAUGGGGAAGUGUUUCUUUAGGCUUCCCUUUCUUUCUCUGAAGAAUAGGGGUGAAGAUGGUCCCAUAGGUGUGAGGAUUUAUGCCUGGCACAUAGUAUGUGCUCAAGCAGUGGUAACCACUGGCACUAAGAGCUGUCAGCUGGCCUCUGGCUGUUCUCACUGUGCAAAUGAAAAUUCAAGAGCAAGAAGAGAGAGCUUCAGUUCAGGAGCACAUAAUGAAGGCUGCAGAUUCCAGGAGUCUCAUUUGUCUAUGAUCCUUGCGGCAACCACUUCCCUAUUAAGGUAAAUUAAAGAAACCAUAAAGUUAACCCAGUAACAACAUGGGAAACGGAGAAAAUUCCUUGCUCACCACUGGAGGGGAUUGGUUUCUGCCCUGCAGCAUGGGACUUGACUUCCUUAUCGCAGCUGCAUAAUUCCAAAUAUUAUCAUUGGUUAUACAACUGCCCAGUUUUCCCUGAGAAGCUCAGCCCCAGUGUGUGGCACCCUGCAUUCUGCCAGGCAGCGAAUUCCACAUGCAGCUCACACGCCGCGAGCUGAGACUUUACAGCUCACCAACACUUAAGGCAAACUGUGUCUCUGUCUCCACACUGGAACACACCUCAUGGCCACUUGGAAACACGUCAGCUGUAGAGAAGCUCCAGUCCAGGACAUUGGAAGCCUGUAGGCUGGUCUUGCAUGAUGGUGUCUGCAGGACUGAUCACACUGUGGGCAUGGAGGCUGAGCCAUGCCUAUAUACUGGGAAAGGUUGUAGGAUAUAGUGGAAGAAUCCAUCUCUGCGGUAAGGCAAUCCCCCAACUUCUUUGUAUCAUGGAGAAAGGAAAUCUGGAAAAUCAAAUGCUGCUUUCCCUCCAUGGAUUUGGAUUUUGGUGAGAUGCAGACAAAGUCUACUCUUUGUUACAGACAACUUCAUUCGGUAAACAAUUUGGGAGGCUUCCUAUGUGCCAAGUAAUUUCUAGGACCUAAGGAUACCCAAAUGUCUUCCAGGGUUCACAGUCUGGUUCAUGGUUCUGUGAUUGCAACUGAAAGUUGCAAGGGUAAAAGGCAGUAGGAGCCUAGUGAGGGAACCAAAGGGGAAGGCACACUGUAACCUUCCCUCUUCCCCUGGCUCCCAGUACUCAGGCCAUCUUGCCAUUAAAUGACUCUGAGCAGGGAAAAAAGGGACAUUUUUUUUUCCUGACACGUGAGUAUUUCACCAUUAAAUGCAGUAAGAACCAGAGCUGGAGACCUGUGUGAAGUCCCCAGCAGAAGUCACCACAAGGAAUGUGGUUUUGCAGAUGGGCAGUCAGAGAGAAGACAUGCUUGACAGGAUUUCGAUUCUGCAAUUUGUAUACGGGGUAAAAAUGGGAGUUCAUAACCCACUUGAAUCAAAGUGUGAAAUAUGAUAUAUCAAGAACUAUGUAAUGUUUUGAACAACCAACAAUAAAAAAAUUAAAAAAAAAAAA